UCUAGCGAGACUGCCGGUAAUAACCGGAGGAAGGUGGGGAUGACGUCAAUCAUCAUGCCCCUUAUGACCUGGGCUACACACGUGCUACAAUGGUUGGUACAACGAGUUGCGAGUCGGUGACGGCGAGCUAAUCUCUUAAAGCCAAUCUCAGUUCGGAUUGUAGGCUGCAACUCGCCUGCAUGAAGCCGGAAUCGCUAGUAAUCGCGGAUCAGCAUGCCGCGGUGAAUACGUUCCCGGGCCUU
Molecule: ribosomal RNA, 242 nt
Filed under: uncultured Streptococcus sp.
Lineage: Bacteria; Bacillati; Bacillota; Bacilli; Lactobacillales; Streptococcaceae
Description: partial 16S ribosomal RNA
Rfam family: Bacterial small subunit ribosomal RNA
Source: RNAcentral